RNAcentral lists this long non-coding RNA (208 nucleotides) under Homo sapiens (human). Its description in RNAcentral is "HSALNT0127729". Lineage: Eukaryota; Metazoa; Chordata; Mammalia; Primates; Hominidae. The record is from RNAcentral.
AGAUCAGAAAAUCAUAAGACAGCAUUAAAAAGUACUAUACAGGAGGAGAUGGAACAAGAUGGCCAAAUAGAAGCCUCCAGCAAUCAUCUCCCCGAAAGGAAUUGAACAACUAUCAAAACAAAAUUGAACAACUAUCUAAACAAAAAAGUACCUUCAUAAAAAACAAAAAUCAGGUGAACGAUGCUUCUCUUCUGUCAGCCUGCAACUG